GAGAAGAAAAAAAAAUUAAAUAAAAUAAAAUAAAACUGAACGGGGGAAGAAGAAACACUUCCGCGCCACGCAAGAAAUCGAAAAGUGCACAUUUGAUUCAUUUUCAUUUUUCGCGACUUGUGUACUUGUGUGCCGUUCUUGCUCCGUCGACGAUGGCAAGUUAACAACUAACUCUGAGCUGAUAC
Molecule: small RNA, 185 nt
Filed under: Drosophila ananassae
Lineage: Eukaryota; Metazoa; Arthropoda; Insecta; Diptera; Drosophilidae
Description: GF26956
Source: RNAcentral